AACUCUGGUGAAAUGUGAAAUGUCCCCCAAAGGGAGUGGCACUAUUAGGAGGUGUGGUUUUGUUGGAGUAGGUGUGACCUUGCUGGAUGAAGUGUGUCACUGGGGGGUGGGCUCUGAGUACUCCCAGUGUCAUAGUCAACUUCCUGUUGCCUUCUAAUCAAGAUGUAGCCAGCACCAAUUCUGCCUGCCUGCCGCCAUGCUCCCCACCAUGAUGAUAAUGGACUGAACCUCUGAAACUCUUCCUGCUUCCUUCCGGCUCCGCUGUUUUCGCACUGCUCACUGAAACACGAGAUGAACUUCCUGUGACAUAAAUCCUACUGCAACCCCACUGGACUCUCCUGAGAGAUGUGCUCCAUCUCUGUGCGCCAUGGGCCUCUGUUUCCACAUGUACAAGAAGCCUGGAUAAAAUCUACCAUGUAGGAUUGAAAUUACUAGCAUAGUGCUUGGUUAUUGGUGGUUAUUAAUAUGAUCUGCAACUUCUCCUCCACAGACUGCAGCCUCCUAGGGAUUAGGGACCAGGUUGUUCAUUUCUAGACCCCCUGAAGCUUGCCGCCUUUCAGCCGAGCAAUACAUGUUUACAGGAUAGCAUGGGAGAGGACCAUUCUGCCUAACUGUGCCUGAGCAUCUGCUGUUCACAGCCCCGUGGAUCUCAGACAGCUUGUAUGAGUGAUCCUUAUUCCGUCCAAGAUGCCAGCCUCCAACUGGCUCCUUUGUUCACCAGGACUUAGAACUGUCAGCAGAGUAAAGGGUGACCUUCACACAGACUCUCCUGCUGCUGCCAUGAGAACAAAGACACAGAAAGAAGAAAAUGAGCAUCUUACUCAGGAACAUUCUAGAAUGUGGCAAUAAGGAUGGGGGAGGGAAACAGUUUCCCGGGCUGGUUCGCAGGGGAACCCUGGCUCAAGGUCUGGUUCUGGGAAUCCAUGGGGUAGAAGUGACUUCUUGCAAAUGGGUCACGCUACUACGCAUAUGGUGCAUGUGGGUGGAACAUAAAUGUGACUUUUGCCUCUUUUCAGAGGUCAGGUUUGUUGAGAGGUUUCAAAUGACCUGGAAAGUCCAUCCAAUGUCUACUCUUAUGGGGUGAGAGGCUAUAACCCUGCAAUGCAGACAUUUAGCCAGAGCUGAGACGACUUACCCCUAGGCCAGGACACCAACCAAACAAGGCCUCACACUCACCCUUGGGGGAAACCAACAAAGCAGUGGCUGUGGGCAGCGGUCAGUUUAGUCACUGGAAAUAAAAGCUUUUGAGCCCGCCUGAGCUACCA
Molecule: non-coding RNA, 1265 nt
Organism: Cricetulus griseus (Chinese hamster)
Lineage: Eukaryota; Metazoa; Chordata; Mammalia; Rodentia; Cricetidae
Source: RefSeq, a predicted model, not a curated record